RNAcentral lists this ribosomal RNA (460 nucleotides) under uncultured bacterium. RNAcentral describes it as "partial 16S ribosomal RNA". It matches the Rfam family "Bacterial small subunit ribosomal RNA", at positions 338 to 795 of the family's 1533-position model. The record is from RNAcentral.
CCUACGGGAGGCAGCAGUGAGGAAUAUUGGUCCAUGGGCGGAAGCCUGAACCAGCCAAGUCGCGUGAGGGAUUAAGGCCCUGCGGGUCGUAAACCUCUUUUGCCGGGGAGCAGAGGUCCGGACGUGUCCGGGCCGGGAGAGUACCCGGAGAAAAAGCAUCGGCUAACUCCGUGCCAGCAGCCGCGGUAAUACGGAGGAUGCGAGCGUUAGCCGGAUUUAUUGGGUUUAAAGGGUGCGUAGGCGGGCAUUUAAGGCGGCGGUGAAAUGUCGGGGCUCAACCCCGGCCUGCCGUCGGAACCGGGUGCCUUGAGUGGGCGAGAGGUAUGCGGAAUGCGUGGUGUAGCGGUGAAAUGCAUAGAUAUCACGCAGAACCCCGAUUGCGAAGGCAGCAUACCGGCGCCCUACUGACGCUGAGGCACGAAAGUGCGGGUAUCGAACAGGAUUAGAUACCCUGGUAGUC